RNAcentral lists this long non-coding RNA (1033 nucleotides) under Pan troglodytes (chimpanzee). RNAcentral's name for it is "lincRNA". Lineage: Eukaryota; Metazoa; Chordata; Mammalia; Primates; Hominidae. The record is from RNAcentral.
ACCCUGUACCUUUGCUCCUAAGCAUGAAGAUGGGCUUCUGACCAUGUCCUGCUAGAGGACACUGAAAGGGUAAGCCUUGGGCUUUAACCAGGCAAUGUUCUCAUCCAUAUGAGCAAGCGCUUCAUAUUACUGGCCGUGGCCCUGUGCUGAGUCCUCCUCCCGCCCAUGGCCCUCUCCUCCUGGCCUGUGGUCCUCCGCCUGAACAUGGCCGACUUUGUCUUCAGUUUCCUCUGCCUCGGCAUUGUUAACUGCAAGGCGGUGCACCCAAGUCCGAUGGUGUCCUACCUGGUGACCUCCUACCUGUGCUGGGACGCCAGCGACUUGAGGCUGCACUCCGCAGGGCGCAGCGAGGCGGACAUCCAAACAGCGGAACUCAGACACUGACUCCGAGCACACCCCGGGCCUUCCCAUUUCAUACACCCUCGAGGAUGAGACCCAAGCACCUCCAAGGAAUAGCACCCGAGGUCUUCAGGACACCGACCGGUAGCCAUGGCCAGAUGCCCGGCCAACCCCUUCAGCGUGGUCACGCCCCGGAUAUUCGACCUCCCCUGAGGCCCCACCCCCUGAUAUCAGGCCACGCCCUCCGAGGGGACCGGUGGCAAACUCCAACCCUCGCUCUAGGGCCCGCCCUUUGCGGCUUUAUCCCUGCCCACUGGGUCCUCACAGUACCUCCACCCCAGAAGUCCAGCAUCCCCUCCCGUUCUGCAGACACUUGUCCAGCGUCCCGCUGAGCUUGGCAGUGUGGCUAGUUUGUGUGGCCCUGCCCCUGGUGCCCAGCCUUCGCAGGCCACACCCUGAAGCCACUCUCCACCCCCUCAGCCAGGGUGGUCUGCAUGGAACUUCUUUCCCGGAGUUCCAGCCUCAGCUCCGAUGUCCACCCUUGUCCCCAGGUGGACACAGCACCGCCCAGCAUUUGGUGCAACUCCACCCUUCUGCGGAACGGGCCCCUCCCUGGGAAGGCAUGGCUUGCAAUAACAUCCCUCUGUACCUUUUCUGGCUUCCCCGCCACAAUAAAACCUCUCAGCCUCAGACC